Molecule: ribosomal RNA, 358 nt
Filed under: uncultured bacterium
Lineage: Bacteria
Description: bacterial SSU rRNA
Rfam family: Bacterial small subunit ribosomal RNA
Source: RNAcentral
ACAGAUCGUUCAGAGUUUCGAUCCUGGCUCAGGAUGAACGCUGGCGGCGUGCCUAACACAUGCAAGUCGAACGAAGCAUCUUAUCUUGAUUUCUUCGGAUUGAUUGAUUUGAUGACUGAGUGGCGGACGGGUGAGUAACGCGUGGGUAACCUGCCUUAUACAGGGGGAUAACAGUUAGAAAUGACUGCUAAUACCGCAUAAGCGCACAGUAUCGCAUGGUACAGUGUGAAAAACUCCGGUGGUAUAAGAUGGACCCGCGUCUGAUUAGCUAGUUGGUGAGGUAAUGGCUCACCAAGGCGACGAUCAGUAGCCGGCCUGAGAGGGUGAACGGCCACAUUGGGACUGAGACACGGCCCAA